Molecule: long non-coding RNA, 2406 nt
Organism: Bombyx mori (domestic silkworm)
Lineage: Eukaryota; Metazoa; Arthropoda; Insecta; Lepidoptera; Bombycidae
Exons: 4
Source: RefSeq, a predicted model, not a curated record
UUCGCGUAUUUUGAAAUGAGUCGUUGAAAAAGACCUUGUGUGAAACCACUUCUAAAUUCCGUUUACAAAUCAAACACAAACGAUAUUGAUCUUUAACGAUCCGGGAUAACGAUUAUUUUAUGUUUGCGAGUGGUUUUUUUUAUUUGGUCACAUUGGAUGUGGAGUCUUGAAAUGUCGCGACAUCGGCCCGAUAGUGAUGUAUAUAUACGGUGAGGGACGUCGCUAUAUUUAUCUAAUGAGAACUGAUAACAUGGGACGCGCUGACGACUGCUCAUCAUUAGGAAUGCACACGUGAAUAAAUGACGAUGAAAAUAGAACAACAGUUAACUUUGGCCCGAUAUCCUAAAGAGGAUCAUCAAGUUUUUUUUUUUUAAAACAAGUGAAGCAGCAUCGGUGGUCUACAUGGUGAGAAGUCGUGACUGAAGACCAUGCUUUUACAACCACAAUCUGAAUAUACCUAACGGCUGUUUUGUACAAGAACUCUCCUACCCAUCGAAAAAGAAGGCACGAUUGCUUCGCAAUAGAAAUAGGCAGAAUAAUUACACCUAUAAUAGACGUAGGCUAAAAGUUAAUUAAGAAAGAAAAAAGUGUUUAUGCUACUAAAUACAAAAUUGACUUUAUUUUAUUGAUAAUUGUCAGAAACUCUGCAGCAGUUCAGCUUAUGCUGGCCGCAUACGCAACCAGCGCUGACUCUCAACCAAGAUUACGCUUUAGCACCAGUAUUUAGAGUACUUAGAAGCCAUGGAAACUUUACUACAAUUUUUUUAGUUUUAAGAUCAAAAACACGCUUUUCGUUCUUAUUAAAAUAAACCAAAUGGACCUCAAUUCGAUGAGUUCACUGACAGUUCAAUAGUUAUGAUAUCGCAGCUCCUUAUUAGGCCACAAGCUUAAUAUCGGUAAAUCCCAGAGCCCAUAGACAUCUACAAACUAAAUGCCGCCUACCUUGAGACAUGAGUUCUAAGGCCUCAGUUUUUACAGUACAACGGCUGCCCCACCCUUCAAACCGAAACGCAUUACCGCUCCACGGCAGAAAUAUGCAGGUUGAUGGUACCUACCCGUGCGGACUUACAAUAAAUACAAUACAAUAUAAUCAGUAAAGUCAGUAUGCAUAGAUUUCAUGACUAAAACUAUAUGUUGUGGCAAAUAAACAGAAAGCCCAGCGUCGAACCUGCGACUACGGACGCGUUUUUUUUUUUUUUGUUUUUUUUAUUGCUUAUAUGGAUGGACGAGCUCACAGCCCACCUGGUGUUAAGUGGUUACUGGAGCCCAUAGACAUCUACAACGUAAAUGCGCCACCCACCUCGAGAUAUAAGUUCUAAGAUCUCAGUAUAGUUACAACGGCUACCCCACCCUUCGAACCGAAACGCAUUACUGCUUCACGGCGGAAAUAGGCGGGGUGGUGGUACCUACCCGUGCGGACUCACAAGAGGUCCUACCACCAGUGAAUAAAGUGCGUUCUAAGAAAGCACUGAGCUAAAACGCGUUAUACAAAUGACGCAAACUAACGAUUACAUAACACAGCCAGUGAACACUAGACGACCGCGUAAUGUUAUGCAAAAUAUUAGCAUACGCCUAUAAAUUUAUAUUCUGUAAUUUAACAUAAUAUAUCGUCUUCUCGCAUUAAAACUGUAUAAUCUCAAAACUUACUAAUUUUACAGGAGAAUGUUUUAAAGGUUUAACAUUUGUGAUAUUUUUAAUACUAAUCAUCUUUGCAACAUUUUUUUUUUACCAGUUCAUUUCUAGGUACCACCGCCCUGCUUGUUUCUGCCGUGAAGCAGUGAUGCGUUUCGGUUUGAAGGGUGGGGCAGCCGUUGUAACUAUACUGAGAUCUUAGAACUUAUAUCUAAGGUGGGUGGCGCAUUUACAUUGUAGAUGUCCAUGGGCUCCAUUAACCACUUAACAUCAGAUGGGCUGUGAGCUCGUCCACCCACCUAAGCUAUAAAAAAAAAAGUAAUAUAGCACGUCCAUGGCCUAUUGAAAUAUGGCCCCUCAGUCCAAAUUCGACUAUAAUUCUCAAUCACAGAUUUCGCCAAAACUAUAGAAAAAUAAUAUUAAAGACAAACAAUAUUAAUCUAUUCUCAAAUUGACCACAGACUAACAAUAAACAAAAGAGUUUAAAUGCGCGUGUGUGUCAAAUACAUGGUAGUGUGUGUAAUGUUUCCCUUAUUGAUUUAAUGUGUUAUUUAUGCAUAAUUUUAAGAAAAUAUUAACAUUCUGCACUAAUUCUCUAUGUUUUCGAUAAGUUUGGGAAAUUUCGUACUCCUCCGUCUGCGCAAUUUUCGUAAAAAAGGGUACAAAGAUUUUGCUUCACGUAUUAUUAUAUUUGAAAUAACAUAAUAUCUGUGAAAGUGCACAGUGUUAGAAAAAGAAAUCGAAACAUGUUGACUUUUCGGGUUCUUCCAAAUA